UUGAAACUAAUUCCCACAAUAUUUAGCUGAAAUCAAUAAUGGAUUAUCUCGGAAUAUCUUUAUAAAACAUUUCUUUGGAAGAUGUCAUUGAUGAAGAAACCAACACGUUAGGAAUAUCCCUUGAGGAAAUGGAAACCUCUUUAAAUGCUCAGGAGUCCGAUGAACCAUUGGCUGUUGUUAGUCCAGAGGAACCCACACAGCCACUUCAUACAUCAACACCAAAGAAACCCAUACAUACAAGUAAAACAGGAAAAGGCAGACCAGUUCGGAGGUUAUUAAAGCUUAAGAAAACAGGGGAAGUGCAACGUCUACAGCAAUGUAGGAGAUGAUGUUUUCAUAGCAAUGUUUCCCAGAGCCAGAUCAUCAGGGCUAGAGAAAAAGUAUAGACGAAGGAUUUCAACUGUAGAGUUGACUGGAAGUUGGAAAAGUUUGAAGAAUCCCCGAAUUGUUUUGGUUAUGUUACCAAACCUUUCAAGAUUUAGUUGGUAAUAUUCCCAGAAAUAUAUUUAACUCUGUCAAUAAAUGUGAGCUGGUUAAGCUCUGCGAUUAUGUUAAAGAAUCAGUAUGUAUUCGUAAUGUUAUUCCUAAUAAUUAUUAUUAUUAUUAUUAAUUUAGUUCAUCCUCUGAUACUGCUGCCUUUACGUCAACAUAUUUGUGUCUUUAACCAUAGCACUAACCAUGUACAAGCAUUUGAUAUCAAAAACCUAAGUGUAUGUGUUUAGACGAUGUUCUGAUGUAUAUGACUUAUACACGUCUGUUCUGUUCUUUUCUGUGUCUUUUUGUUUAAAUCAUAAUAUGCAAA
Long non-coding RNA from Mya arenaria, 802 nucleotides. RefSeq lists it as uncharacterized. The record is from RefSeq and is a predicted model, not a curated record. The transcript is spliced from 3 exons. NCBI's taxonomy places the organism in Eukaryota, Metazoa, Mollusca, Bivalvia, Myida, Myidae.